Molecule: ribosomal RNA, 417 nt
Filed under: uncultured bacterium
Lineage: Bacteria
Description: bacterial SSU rRNA
Rfam family: Bacterial small subunit ribosomal RNA
Source: RNAcentral
GGGGAAUAUUGCACAAUGGGCGCAAGCCUGAUGCAGCGACGCCGCGUGCGGGAUGGAGGCCUUCGGGUUGUAAACCGCUUUUGUUCAAGGGCAAGGCACGGUUUCGGCCGUGUUGAGUGGAUUGUUCGAAUAAGCACCGGCUAACUACGUGCCAGCAGCCGCGGUAAUACGUAGGGUGCGAGCGUUAUCCGGAUUUAUUGGGCGUAAAGGGCUCGUAGGCGGUUCGUCGCGUCCGGUGUGAAAGUCCAUCGCCUAACGGUGGAUCUGCGCCGGGUACGGGCGGGCUGGAGUGCGGUAGGGGAGACUGGAAUUCCCGGUGUAACGGUGGAAUGUGUAGAUAUCGGGAAGAACACCAAUGGCGAAGGCAGGUCUCUGGGCCGUCACUGACGCUGAGGAGCGAAAGCGUGGGGAGCGAAC